Zeugodacus cucurbitae (melon fly) is the source of this 2932-nucleotide RNA transcript. RefSeq lists it as uncharacterized. Lineage: Eukaryota; Metazoa; Arthropoda; Insecta; Diptera; Tephritidae. The transcript is spliced from 3 exons. The record is from RefSeq and is a predicted model, not a curated record.
CUUUGGCGUAUAGGCAUUGUCUCGGGUUGCCGUUUAGACAUUUCGCAAUACACACAACAUACUCAUAUUGCCCGUGGUCGGAACGGUGCAACGGACGAGAGUAUACGAAAAAAUAUAAAAAUUGUUUAAUAGUUCAACUGAAAAGCAAAAACUAAAAUCUAAUUAAUACCAAAACAAUAAAGAAUUAUAAGCCAUUAACUGUAUGUGUGUAGGUGACAUCGAUCAAUCUAUAAGUGAAAUCUAAUAUUUAGGAAGAAUAUGGCGUGUCAUUGAGAGUCGACAUACGACGCGGUGUGGAGUAAUGUGCCAGCAGCAGGACACGCUUCGGUGCAGCUGUACCAAGUGCUUGAGGCGCUAGCCAGUCCGUGGUGCCGUGCGAUUUGAGGUUCAGCAUUUGACCUCCAUUUUACAAUAUUGAAUUGCUGGUUAGGCGACACAGCUGUGUGUGUGUUUGUGCGUAAUUUCAUUGUGACCAAGUCACCACAAUCCUUCUAAAUACUUUCAUACACCGUGGAUGUGUAUGUGUGUGGCCAUUAUUGACAUUAUUAGCCACAAAAAAAUUUAGUGCUCAAUCAAAAUUUAUGACAGACAAGACCAGGAAAAACGGUAAAUUUAACGUGCACGAAGCCUAAAAUAACCAACAGCUACGCCAACCAACUAACUGCCCGAAAGCGGAAAAAUCAAUAUUAGCAACAUUUUCCCGAACAGCACAUAGACAAUAUGCGCGUGAUUAAACGUGAAAAAAAGUAAAAAAAUCCAGUGAAAGUGUGUGUUAAAGUGCAGAAAAGCGCAGAAAAGCGCAAAAAUACAAGAAAUUAUAUAAUUUCAAAGAAAAUUUUUAGCGCAGCGUAGGCGCGGUUUUGACGGUACCACACUCUGUGCGCGUUCAUGUAUGUGUGCGUGCUGAUGUGUGUAUGUGUGUCUGGGUCAGCCAUAUGCUACAAUCGAUUUACAUGGCAGAGCAGCAAUAACACAAAUUCAUUGAGGCGCUCAUUUCACUAAAGCAACAACAAAUAAACAACAACAUCUAUGCAUACAUACACAAACUACAGUGGGUUCCACACAGCGACGACGCCUACGCGAACUGACAACGACGAGUAGUUGGGAGAAACUUCCAGUUAAAGUAAACUGAAAACAGUCAAAAGCAGCUAAGUGUAAAUAAAAAAAUACAAAAACCAAACAACAACAAAACAACAACCAAUUUAACUGCCAGCGCUUAACAGUCGCACACCGCCGCAACCGCCACCACAAUGGGUAAGAAGAAGGUGCCGAGUGAGGACCUCAUUGUGCCGCCACAGGAUCAGCGCAUUUGUGGCACAAUUUGCGUGUGCCAAAUGACACUCGUGCUGAGCUCGGUGGCGCUGGUCUAUCUAACGGUCGCCAUUUACAUGCCGUCGACGCGCGCCUUCAAGAGCGGCAUCGAUCCAACGCCCGUCAUGUGCACCACCACGCGCGCCGUCAACAAGGACAACUGUGAGUGGGGCUCGUGCGGUGAGUGGUGCUUGAGUAAGACAUCGGGCGCCUGCAUACAAAUCUAUGUAAAUUUGCGUACCAACGGCACGAAUCUCACCUUUCAGAAUUGUACGAAUUCGGCGAAUAAGACAUGCUAUGGCAUCGAUCAGGACCGCGCCGAUAAGGCGCGCUGCAUAAAUGAUGAGUGCAAAAAUUUGACGGGUACAUUUAAUUGCACCGAAGGUCAAUGCUUGAAUAUAACCGAUGCGUUCGAGUGUGUCUUCAAGAAUAGCGAUUCGCCGGUGAAGUGUUCGGGCAGACGGGGGAAAAUCAAUUGUAUGGACAUAAACGGUUUGUUUUCGUGUAAUCGCGGCACGUGCCGCAAAAUACGCACACCCUACAAUUGUGACCGACGUUGCGUUGACAUACCGACACGCAAUAAGAAUGUGGUGGUGUUGAGUGGUGAUAAAGUGUAUUUGUCGCAGUGUCAAAAUGCCAUCAAUGCAGAGACUAAAGAAGAAGUGUGGAAUGAAUCCGCGGAUAAUGUGGUGAUGGCAUCAUGCUACUUCAUAAAGAACACAUCGGAUCGCGUGGAGGCUUUGGAUUGCAUUAACGGCUCGACGUUGGAACACAAUAUGCUCACGGAUCUAACCAAUUUCACAUAUUUGAGUCAUCUGCACAUAUCGGUUUCGGUGCCGACGCCGGAAAUAGCACCGCCCGACUUUGAUUUGACCAUUUCAAAUGAGUCGAAGCUCAUGAUCAAUCUGGAGGGUUGUGUCAACACGCUGAUGGAUGAGUGCAAGGAGUUCUUGAAGGAUUUCGGCCGUGAUGGCAGCGAUCACAAUGCACGUGCGCGUUUCCCUUGCUUCUACUCGCCAUCGAAGAAGGAAAUAGUCGUGGCACGCUUCGACUUAGAGGUCACCUAUCGGCAGUUUGUCAUCGCCUCAGUUGUGCCGUCGGUGUUGUUUGUGGUGUCCUGUCUGGUCUUGCUGCUCUGCCAGAAGACCGUCUAUGUGGGUGAUGAUGCGAAAAUGCGUUUCAAGGGUUGUGUGGACACGGAUACGAUAUUGGCGAAAAAUAAUAUUGGCUCACAAACUAAUUUGGGCGAUACUGGUGGAGGCGGUGGUGACGACGUAAUGGCACUAUGAGAUCCGUCACCAUACUUUCAGCUACAUCAACGUGGAUUGAGACCUGAAAGUUCGAAUAUUUAUCCACAUUUUUGAACAUUUGUGCUGUUGUUUAUGUCUGUAAGCGUCGUUUAUGAUGCAUUCCUCUGCUCCAAGAAGACAGUCCCGUACAUCAGGCCGGCGUGUUUGCCAUGCAAUAAGGGCAGCAGACAGUCCAGCAGUAAUAACAACAAUAACAACAAAAGUUGUACAAAACCACACUCACUUCACCAACUCAAAUCAAAAAGAAACCAAGAAAAUUUUACAUCAAAAACAAAAUAUUUUAAUCAGCCCAAAAAUUAUAAAAAAAACAA